GGGGAUGGUUUGGUUUUGAUGGAAGUAUCACGUAUCUUUGUAUUGCCCUUACUGGAUGGUCGUGUAUCUACAGUAUAAAUAAUCGACCGCACUUAUCGUGCUAAAAACAAUCUUAGACUAACAGCUGCUAGAGCUUACGCUUUCGCUGCCUAAUACGUCUACCCGACCAUUGUCGGGUUAACCAACCUUGGAUUCAGCGAUAUCUACUAGCUCCGAGGGUACGCGUAGGUACUACCCAUGACCUAGGGGAUGAAAUAUAGGUCGCUAAAAGAGCAGUAGUGUUGGUUAUGGCUACAAACUGCUGCCUCCGGGAAUGUGCUGACUUGUCAGUACUACAACCAUAGUCUAUGAGGGUAGACGUACAUUGAUAUGACUUUCAGACGCGGGUUCGACUCCCGCCAUCUCCAGAA
RNAcentral lists this transfer-messenger RNA (410 nucleotides) under Candidatus Peribacteria bacterium. It matches the Rfam family "transfer-messenger RNA". From Rfam's summary of the family: Bacterial tmRNA, also known as 10Sa RNA or SsrA, is named for its dual tRNA and mRNA-like properties. Its role is to liberate the mRNA from a stalled ribosome. The record is from RNAcentral. Lineage: Bacteria; Candidatus Peregrinibacteriota; Candidatus Peribacteria.